Molecule: RNase P RNA, 226 nt
Filed under: Aeromonas popoffii
Lineage: Bacteria; Pseudomonadati; Pseudomonadota; Gammaproteobacteria; Aeromonadales; Aeromonadaceae
Also listed under: 1 other name
Description: partial RNase P RNA component class A
Rfam family: Bacterial RNase P class A
About the family: Ribonuclease P (RNase P) is a ubiquitous endoribonuclease, found in archaea, bacteria and eukarya as well as chloroplasts and mitochondria. Its best characterised activity is the generation of mature 5'-ends of tRNAs by cleaving the 5'-leader elements of precursor-tRNAs. Cellular RNase Ps are ribonucleoproteins.
Source: RNAcentral
GGGAUCAGGUAAGGGUGAAAGGGUGCGGUAAGAGCGCACCGCGCGACUGGCAACAGUUCGUGGCACGGUAAACUCCACCCGAAGCAAGACCAAAUAGGCCCCUAUUGGCGCGGCCCGCGUUGGGGGCGGGUAGGUUGCUUGAGCCAGUGAGCGAUUGCUGGCCUAGAGGAAUGAUUGCUACCGGGGCAACCCGGAACAGAACCCGGCUUACAGGCCGACUCCGACC